Molecule: ribosomal RNA, 468 nt
Filed under: uncultured bacterium
Lineage: Bacteria
Description: partial 16S ribosomal RNA
Rfam family: Bacterial small subunit ribosomal RNA
Source: RNAcentral
GACGAACGCUGGCGGCGUGCUUAACACAUGCAAGUCGAACGGAAAGGCCCUGCUUUUGUGGGGUGCUCGAGUGGCGAACGGGUGAGUAACACGUGAGUAACCUGCCCUUGACUUUGGGAUAACUUCAGGAAACUGGGGCUAAUACCGGAUAGGAGCUCCUGCUGCAUGGUGGGGGUUGGAAAGUUUCGGCGGUUGGGGAUGGACUCGCGGCUUAUCAGCUUGUUGGUGGGGUAGUGGCUUACCAAGGCUUUGACGGGUAGCCGGCCUGAGAGGGUGACCGGCCACAUUGGGACUGAGAUACGGCCCAGUCUCCUACGGGAGGCAGAAGUGGGGAAUAUUGCACAAUGGGCGGAAGCCUGAUGCAGCAACGCCGCGUGCGGGAUGACGGCCUUCGGGUUGUAAACCGCUUUCGCCUGUGACGAAGCGUGAGUGACGGUAAUGGGUAAAGAAGCACCGGCUAACUACGUG